CCCUUAGAUGUUCUGGGCCGCACGCGCGCUACACUGAUGCAUUCAACGAGCCUAGCCUUGACCGAGAGGUCCGGGUAAUCUUUGAAACUGCAUCGUGAUGGGGCUAGAUUAUUGCAAUUAUUAAUCUUCAACGAGGAAUGCCUAGUAAGCGUGAUUCAUCAAAUCGCGUUGAUUACGUCCCUGCCCUUUGUACACACCGCCCGUCGCACCUACCGAUUGAAUGGUCCGGUGAAGCCUCCGGAUUGGCGCGCACCUCGGUGCCGCCGAGAAGUUGGCUAAACCUUACCAUUUAGAGGAAGGUGAAGUCGUAACA
This 313-nucleotide ribosomal RNA is filed under the name uncultured eukaryote. Its description in RNAcentral is "partial 18S ribosomal RNA". It matches the Rfam family "Eukaryotic small subunit ribosomal RNA", at positions 1470 to 1796 of the family's 1831-position model. The record is from RNAcentral.